Non-coding RNA from Cygnus olor (mute swan), 1402 nucleotides. The record is from the annotation of a RefSeq genome assembly. Lineage: Eukaryota; Metazoa; Chordata; Aves; Anseriformes; Anatidae.
GAGGUUCAGAGGCUGCUUUGAGCUGGCAGAAGGGGAAUUGAACUCGCAAGCUUGAGCUCGCUUUUUCCAGGCACUCCGUGGGCACCCUGUGAAGGCGAGAGCGUGACAUGGUCCUGCUUUUUCUGGCAGCCUUGAUGGCACUGUCAGACUUUGGUCAUGCACAGGACUCUGUGCUGCAGUUUGCACAAGAAACUGCCAUCCAGGUGGGACACAACGCUACUCUGCACUGCAAUUUCUCCACCAGCAGCUCUGCUUUCUACAUCUUCUGGUAUCAGCAGCGCCUGACCCAGUCCCCUCAGUUCUUGCUGCAGGUGAGCAGGUCCAAGCCUCAUGUGCAUUCCGGGAGGAUCUCCUCUGUGCUCUCCAUGGAGAACUCCCAGGUGCUUCUCCAUGUGCAAGAUGCCAAGCUCCAGGACAGCGCUGUCUACCUGUGUGCACUGAGCCCACACUGGUGCCUGCAGCAUGCAGCUUUAUACAGGAAGGUGCGGGUGCUGUGAGGAGCAGCUCCCUCUCAUCACAGUUUGCAUGGAGCUCUGAGCUGAGCCUGCCCAGCAAGGACACGUGGGGCUUGUGGUGAGCCAGGUGUGAGUGGCAGCCCCUGCUCCUGAUGCCUGGCAGUGUGGUUAGCAUAACCAACAGUAAGGCAAAUAUCCAUAAUGUGGAAGGGGACUGUUAAUGUGCACCCCUGCCCCCUUGUCUCUCCCUCUCACUGGCCCCAGCAUGUGGAGACACCCACCAUUGUCGUGAGAAAGGGCAUUAGUGUUAUCCAUCUAGUAAUUCAACUAGUAAUUUAUUUGUAGUAAGCUUUAGGAUUUUGUAGUAAUUUUUAGUAUUUCUAGUAAUUUCUUAUGUAAUAAUAAAUCUCUAGUUAUAACCACAACCUGUGGCCAGUCCUCCUUCUGCCAAGGAUCCCUAAAGAACCUGCCAGUGCUCUGUCGUGUUGGGAGACAGACCUGGGUGUAGUCAGCAGGAUCCUUCUUUUAGAAUAAUGAAUGGUUCCCUUGAUAAAUGGGCCACACUGGGGAAGUGUUUUCUUGGAAAUGGAUGGCAAGAUGCAAAGCAGGAAUGGCUAAGGUCAAUACACCACAAUCCAAAUGCCUCAGGGAAUGAAUUUAAUAAAUGCAAAGAUGCGUGUAUGGUAAGGAAAGACAAAAGGAAGGAAGGAGUGUGCUGGUUGUUAGCUGCAACGUGGAAAAUUGAGAAGGAAUGGGCUGGAAGUUUAGAGGAAGAAAACAGAAGGUUGAAAAGGGAAUUAUCAGCCAAAGAUACAGAUGUUUUGGCUGUUGCAGAACAGUGCUUAGACGAAGUCGAGGACUUUUCAGCUUCUCACACUACCCUCCACCAAGGAGGCUGGAGGUGCAGAUGAAGGUGGGAGGAGACACAACCAGGUAAAAAGUCCAGA